Molecule: microRNA precursor, 117 nt
Filed under: Daucus carota subsp. sativus
Lineage: Eukaryota; Viridiplantae; Streptophyta; Magnoliopsida; Apiales; Apiaceae
Source: RNAcentral
AGUUUGUUCGGUAGCCAAGGAUGACUUGCCCCCCACAUCCUGUAUAUAGGGUUUUGCUAGGGCCUGGUAUAUAUUAAUGGUUUCAGGCGAGUCAUCCCGGCUAUCUUAGCAGAUUCU